Molecule: ribosomal RNA, 483 nt
Filed under: uncultured bacterium
Lineage: Bacteria
Description: partial 16S ribosomal RNA
Rfam family: Bacterial small subunit ribosomal RNA
Source: RNAcentral
AUUGAACGCUGGCGGCAGGCCUAACACAUGCAAGUCGAGCGGAUGAAGGGAGCUUGCUCCUGGAUUCAGCGGCGGACGGGUGAGUAAUGCCUAGGAAUCUGCCUGGUAGUGGGGGAUAACGUCCGGAAACGGGCGCUAAUACCGCAUACGUCCUGAGGGAGAAAGUGGGGGAUCUUCGGACCUCACGCUAUCAGAUGAGCCUAGGUCGGAUUAGCUAGUUGGUGGGGUAAAGGCCUACCAAGGCGACGAUCCGUAACUGGUCUGAGAGGAUGAUCAGUCAAACUGAAAUUGAGACAGGUUCAGAACCCUUAGGGAAGGCAGAGGGGGGAAAAAUGGGAAAAGGGGGAAAGGCUUGACCAGCCAUGCCGCGUGUGUGAAGAAGGUCUUCGGAUUGUAAAGCACUUUAAGUUGGGAGGAAGGGCAGUAAGUUAAUACCUUGCUGUUUUGACGUUACCAACAGAAUAAGCACCGGCUAACUUCGUG